GGAUUUGGUUAGCACCCUCUUUAGUACAAAAAAUUUAGCACGAACUACCAGCUUGUAUCUGUUCCUAGUAGGUAUGAUUUUUUCUGCUUUCAUGAUUCAAUUUAUUUGAUAUGAUCCUUUUUUUUUCAUCUCUCACAGAAAGCAACUGUACCUCAGUUGAUUUGACUAGUAUAGGUUUCAGAUCUAAUUUUUACAGACCAUUUUGUGAUUCACCGACUAAGAUAUAAGCUACCAUGUCUUCUAUUAAAAUCAUAUAUUUGAAAUAUUCUAUAAUGCAUGAUUAUAAAUUUUUUGUUUUCAUUUUCUUUAAUAUCAGAUGGAUUAUAUAAAUUCUUCGCAUCCAAGUUUUACUGGUGGGAACAAAGCUGUUGAGCUUGCUGUGAAGCAGAUGAGACAUCAAAGGUAUAGAUGUUAUUUCAGUUGAAUCAACGUGUAGGAAGUUAGCCCUUUAGCAUGGAGUUAUAGUUUUAUAUUGCUCACUUCGGUGCAGCAUUCAUCUUCCUUUGUGAGACUGACUGACAGUUGAAGCUGAAUUUUCUGGAGGGAUGUGAAAUUGUUUUAAAAGUACAUAUUAUAACGUCUAUUCUAUUAUUACAGAAAUUAAUAGCAAAUAAUUGUUUUGAAAUCUGAGGUUGAUUCACAUGUAAUAGUUUACACUCUAAAUUGACAACUGCAUGAUUCUAUCAUGUCUUCUCAAGUUCUUUUUAUUGGUUGAUUUGUUGUUCUGCAACAAUAAUGGGUAUAUAUUGUUAACUUUAUACAUGAUAUAGACACAUUUACUUCAUCUUUUUAUCAUUCAAGAGAGAGCGGAUGCUGAAAAGGUACCUAUAUCUGACAAGGGCCAGUUCUCCCGAACUGUUUGUUGAAAGUUGUCAACAAUGCAGCAGCAUGCAAAUGUCCACAAGAAUGCAGCAGCAAGCUAAUGUCCAUUAUGUAUUUUGGUUAUUAAACUUUUGUAACGUGCGACUUUUAUUGGUUUGAUUGUAACAUUUUGUUUACCCAAGGAUUAGUCAAGUACUUAGCUGAUUUAGUAGCUUUUUAGGUUAUCAUUAAACUGAUUUUACAGCUUGGAUACUAG
This 1078-nucleotide long non-coding RNA is filed under the name Gossypium barbadense (sea-island cotton). RNAcentral describes it as "long non-coding RNA (GBAR_LNC015093)". The record is from RNAcentral. Lineage: Eukaryota; Viridiplantae; Streptophyta; Magnoliopsida; Malvales; Malvaceae.